UACGUAGGGCGCAAGCGUUAUCCGGAAUUAUUGGGCGUAAAGAGCUCGUAGGCGGUUUUGUCGCGUCUGCCGUGAAAGUCCGGGGCUCAACUCCGGAUCUGCGGUGGGUACGGGCAGACUAGAGUGAUGUAGGGGAGACUGGAAUUCCUGGUGUAGCGGUGAAAUGACGCAGAUAUCAGGAGGAACACCGAUGGCGAAGGCAGGUCUCUGGGCAUUAACUGACGCUGAGGAGCGAAAAGCAUGGGGGAGCGAACAGG
Molecule: ribosomal RNA, 257 nt
Filed under: uncultured bacterium
Lineage: Bacteria
Description: partial 16S ribosomal RNA
Rfam family: Bacterial small subunit ribosomal RNA
Source: RNAcentral